Long non-coding RNA from Orcinus orca (killer whale), 2052 nucleotides. RefSeq lists it as uncharacterized. Lineage: Eukaryota; Metazoa; Chordata; Mammalia; Artiodactyla; Delphinidae. The transcript has 4 exons. The record is from RefSeq and is a predicted model, not a curated record.
CCUUCCUUCCCUCCUCCUCCCUCUUCUCCCCACUCCGUUUCCUAUCCCCUCUAACCCCUCUCCCGUCUCCCGCCUCCCCUCCUCCCCACUUCCCUCCUCCCGCUUCCCGUCUCCCCCUCCCCUUCCUGCUCCGGUUGGAGCAGAGCACCGGAGGCUGGCGGGGAGGGGCCGCCGCCCGGAGGUGACCGGCUGCCACGCUCUCGCGUUUCCUCCCCGCCUUAAAUAAGAAUAAUCGUCUAAGUCAGCGGGGCUGGGAUUAAAAAAACACUCGUCGCUGGCAGUCUGGCACCCCCAACCGGGACCACGGAAAUCUUCCUCCAGAGGACUGGGGACGCUGGAGUUGGGGGGAAGGUGGAAGCUGGGCCAGGAGGGGGCUGCCGUCCCAGGAGGGCCCCGGCUGGAGCCAGAGGCCACACUGCUUCCAGGGGACCUUGCUGAGCCUCAGUUUUCUGCUCUGUGGGAUGGGGCCAAAGACUAACUUCCUGUUCUCUAGGGCCACACCAGCUCUCAAAUCUGUUUGUGAGUCUAGAAGUUUUCAAGGCCCCUCUGAUCAAUCCCCACAGCUGAUCAGGCAAAAAGGAGGAACAGGGGAAUGAGUCUUCAGGGUAUGAUGUGAGUUCCUAAAGCCAGGCAAGAGUAGGGAAAAGCCCGCCCAGCACCCAGGCACAGUGGGCCACACCACUCUCAGUCUGUGGCCUGGAGCACAGGCUCCGUUUCCUCACCUGCAAACUGAGCCGUGAUGCCUCCCUCCCCUUGACAGAGGACAAGGGCCCUCCCCCUGCGACCUGCUGCCCACGUCAGCGGCUAAGUGGCAGUUGUCCUGUGCCCAGCCAUCCCCCUCCCCGCCCAGCCUCCAGGUCACCUGCUCUAAACAGCAACAGGAAAGAGGGCCGGAACCUCUUCGCUCCCAGCAAGGAACAGUCAGCACCAGAGAAACCAAGGGCCCAGUGACUACUGCCCCAUUUUACAGAUGAGAACGCUGAAGCUCAGAGCGGGGACUUGCCUCAGAUCACGAGGCUGGACAGCGGCUGCCGGGUGCUCUCGCUUUGGCGACACAGAAGGGUGUCCUCACCCAGCUCCCUGUGCUGCCCACAGGGACAUCUUAGGUCAGAAACAACAGUGAUGUUACCCCAAAAGAGAAAAAAAAUUUUAAAGUCAACAAGACUAAACUCUGUAAAUACCAAGACACUCUUCCAAAAAGAUGCAGCAGAUAUGAAAACAACGAAGGGAAAACGUCAGAGGCUCAUUGUUCCGCAACCUGAGGAACCAAAGAACCAGACCUGUGACCCAGAGACGGAGGUGACACAGGACAGAGGCAGCGUGGACCCCUGAGCUUUCACACGGAGGACAGUUGCCCUGGAGAAUCACCUGGACUCACAGCAGACUUUUGUUGUGUUGAGACGGUUCAAUAUGGGGCUUAUUUGUUACUGCAGAACAACCUAGCCUUGCUAACUGAUACACAUUUGGAAAACCACGUUCUUGUUCAAGGGGUACCAGAGAGCUUGGACAGGUCCCUUGACUCCACCAGGCCUCAGUUUCCCCAUGUGUGUGGUGAGGCGAGGGGGCUUUUCUCCUCUUACUAGGGCCUGUGCUGCUAAUGUACCCAAACCCUAAAGGCCUGAGGAGUAUCUGCCAAUACUAAGGGCUGCUGAUGUGGAGUGCUUGCUGGACACUGGCCGCUGGCUGGGCCACCUUGGGGAUAUCACGGAAUCCUCACAGUGGCCCCAGGAGGGAGGCACUAUCAUUAUCCCCAUUUCCCCAGCAGGAAACUGAGGCUCAAGAAGGUAAGGUCACUGGCCCGGAAGCCCCAGCGUGUGUGAUUCUUAACUGCUCUAACGACAACUGCCACCUGGUAUUUUACUUUCUCUCUUAUAAACACAACUUAAAAGAAAGCCCACUGUUGACAACUUGGGAGAGCUUAGAAUAAGGAUUUUUUUUUUUAAAUUCACGACCUUAACCAUUUUUUUUUUUAACAUCUUUAUUGGGGUAUAAUUGCUUUACAAUGGUGUGUUCGUUUCUGCUGUAUAACAAAGUGAAUCAGUUAUACAUAUA